This 373-nucleotide ribosomal RNA is filed under the name uncultured bacterium. Its description in RNAcentral is "bacterial SSU rRNA". It matches the Rfam family "Bacterial small subunit ribosomal RNA", at positions 509 to 881 of the family's 1533-position model. The record is from RNAcentral.
CAGCAGCCGCGGUAAUACGGAGGAUCCGAGCGUUAUCCGGAUUUAUUGGGUUUAAAGGGAGCGUAGAUGGAUGUUUAAGUCAGUUGUGAAAGUUUGCGGCUCAACCGUAAAAUUGCAGUUGAUACUGGAUAUCUUGAGUGCCGGAGGGGUAAGCGGAAUUCCUAGUGUAGCGGUGAAAUGCGUAGAUAUUAGGAGGAACACCAGUGGCGAAGGCGGCUUACUGGACUGUAACUGACGUUGAGGCUCGAAAGCGUGGGGAGCAAACAGGAUUAGAUACCCUGGUAGUCCACGCCGUAAACGAUGAUUACUAGGUGUUGGUGGGUAUGACCCAUCGGUGCCGCAGCAAACGCAAUAAGUAAUCCACCUGGGGAGU